RNAcentral lists this ribosomal RNA (254 nucleotides) under uncultured bacterium. RNAcentral describes it as "partial 16S ribosomal RNA". It matches the Rfam family "Bacterial small subunit ribosomal RNA", at positions 524 to 776 of the family's 1533-position model. The record is from RNAcentral.
UACGGGGGGAGCAAGCGUUGUUCGGAUUUACUGGGCGUAAAGGGCGCGUAGGCGGCCACCGCAAGUCGACUGUGAAAUCUCCGGGCUUAACCCGGAAAGGUCAGCCGAUACUGCGGGGCUAGAGUGCAGAAGGGGCAACUGGAAUUCUCGGUGUAGCGGUGAAAUGCGUAGAUAUCGAGAGGAACACCUGCGGCGAAGGCGGGUUGCUGGGCUGACACUGACGCUGAUGCGCGAAAGCUAGGGGAACGAACGGG